Small nuclear RNA from Amazona collaria (yellow-billed parrot), 152 nucleotides. Its record names the gene U1. It matches the Rfam family "U1 spliceosomal RNA". From Rfam's summary of the family: U1 is a small nuclear RNA (snRNA) component of the spliceosome (involved in pre-mRNA splicing). NCBI's taxonomy places the organism in Eukaryota, Metazoa, Chordata, Aves, Psittaciformes, Psittacidae. The record is from Ensembl.
GAAGCCGCCUGACAGGUGAGACACCAUGCUCACAAAGGUGUUUUUCCCAGGAAAAUGCCUGUCCCUUACACAUGGGGUGUGCUGACACCUGCAAUUUCCCCAAAUGCCAGGAGCUUGACUUCAUCUUCUGUGAUAAUGGCAAGCUCUGCCAA